Molecule: ribosomal RNA, 1288 nt
Filed under: Bacillus licheniformis
Lineage: Bacteria; Bacillati; Bacillota; Bacilli; Caryophanales; Bacillaceae
Description: bacterial SSU rRNA
Rfam family: Bacterial small subunit ribosomal RNA
Source: RNAcentral
GUCAGCGGCGGACGGGUGAGUAACACGUGGGUAACCUGCCUGUAAGACUGGGAUAACUCCGGGAAACCGGGGCUAAUACCGGAUGCUUGAUUGAACCGCAUGGUUCAAUUAUAAAAGGUGGCUUUUAGCUACCACUUACAGAUGGACCCGCGGCGCAUUAGCUAGUUGGUGAGGUAACGGCUCACCAAGGCAACGAUGCGUAGCCGACCUGAGAGGGUGAUCGGCCACACUGGGACUGAGACACGGCCCAGACUCCUACGGGAGGCAGCAGUAGGGAAUCUUCCGCAAUGGACGAAAGUCUGACGGAGCAACGCCGCGUGAGUGAUGAAGGUUUUCGGAUCGUAAAACUCUGUUGUUAGGGAAGAACAAGUACCGUUCGAAUAGGGCGGUACCUUGACGGUACCUAACCAGAAAGCCACGGCUAACUACGUGCCAGCAGCCGCGGUAAUACGUAGGUGGCAAGCGUUGUCCGGAAUUAUUGGGCGUAAAGCGCGCGCAGGCGGUUUCUUAAGUCUGAUGUGAAAGCCCCCGGCUCAACCGGGGAGGGUCAUUGGAAACUGGGGAACUUGAGUGCAGAAGAGGAGAGUGGAAUUCCACGUGUAGCGGUGAAAUGCGUAGAGAUGUGGAGGAACACCAGUGGCGAAGGCGACUCUCUGGUCUGUAACUGACGCUGAGGCGCGAAAGCGUGGGGAGCGAACAGGAUUAGAUACCCUGGUAGUCCACGCCGUAAACGAUGAGUGCUAAGUGUUAGAGGGUUUCCGCCCUUUAGUGCUGCAGCAAACGCAUUAAGCACUCCGCCUGGGGAGUACGGUCGCAAGACUGAAACUCAAAGGAAUUGACGGGGGCCCGCACAAGCGGUGGAGCAUGUGGUUUAAUUCGAAGCAACGCGAAGAACCUUACCAGGUCUUGACAUCCUCUGACAACCCUAGAGAUAGGGCUUCCCCUUCGGGGGCAGAGUGACAGGUGGUGCAUGGUUGUCGUCAGCUCGUGUCGUGAGAUGUUGGGUUAAGUCCCGCAACGAGCGCAACCCUUGAUCUUAGUUGCCAGCAUUCAGUUGGGCACUCUAAGGUGACUGCCGGUGACAAACCGGAGGAAGGUGGGGAUGACGUCAAAUCAUCAUGCCCCUUAUGACCUGGGCUACACACGUGCUACAAUGGGCAGAACAAAGGGCAGCGAAGCCGCGAGGCUAAGCCAAUCCCACAAAUCUGUUCUCAGUUCGGAUCGCAGUCUGCAACUCGACUGCGUGAAGCUGGAAUCGCUAGUAAUCGCGGAUCAGCAUGCCGCGGUG